This 1337-nucleotide ribosomal RNA is filed under the name Aristaeopsis edwardsiana. Its description in RNAcentral is "16S ribosomal RNA". It matches the Rfam family "Bacterial large subunit ribosomal RNA", at positions 385 to 2735 of the family's 2925-position model. The record is from RNAcentral. Lineage: Eukaryota; Metazoa; Arthropoda; Malacostraca; Decapoda; Aristeidae.
AAAUAACCUUGCUAUAAUUAUCCGGGCGUUAAAUAAGUUUUAAUAAAAUUAUUUUUAGUUUUAUUUGUUGAGUAGAUUGAAUCAAAAAAUUAUAAGUUGGCAAUAGAGUAAAGUACUGUAAAGGAAAGGUGAAAUAUGAUGAAAAAUAAAUUAAAAAAAAGUAGUAGUUUAAAUUCGUACCUUGUGUAUCAGGGAAAAUCAAAAUUUGUUUUGAAAAAAAUAAUCCCGAAAGAAAAAGAGUUAAUCCAAAAACAAAGUUCUCGUGUUAAUGAGAUUUAAAAUUUUGUAUUAGUGGUGAAAUGCUAUCCGAUUUUUCAUAUCUGGUUAUUAGCGAAUUAAAUUUAAUUUAUUAGGUUAGUGGUAACUGAAACUAUAAACCGAGAAAGAAAAGGAGGGAAAAGCUUCUUUUUCUAUCAUAAAUAUCUUGCAAUUAAAUGUAAAUAAACCGUUAAACUAGGCUUAAAAGCAGCCAUGUUGUUAAAGCGUUCUAGCUAAUUUAAAAAAAUAUUAAUAUUUAUAUAAAAUUCGGGCAAGUAGUUAAUACUUUUGUAGAAUAUAAAUACAAAAGAUAGACUGAUUUUAUUAGUAGAAGGUUUUAUAAAAUAAAAUAUUAAAAUAUGGAAAAAAUUAUAAAAGAUUAAAAGUGCGGCUAAGGAACUCGGCAAAUACUACUUUUGCCUGUUUAUCAAAAACAUGUCUGUAUGAUUGUUAUAUAGAGUCUAGCCUGCCCACUGAUAAAAAUUGAAGGGCCGCGGUAUCUUGACCGUGCGAAGGUAGCAUAAUCAUUAGUCUUUUAAUUGAAGGCUUGUAUGAAUGGUUGGACAAAAAGUAAGCUGUCUCAGUCGCAGAGUUUGAAUUUAACUUUUAAGUGAAAAGGCUUAAAUAAUCUAGGGGGACGAUAAGACCCUAUAAAGCUUUACAAUAACUUAAAUAUAUUAAAAUUUGUUAGUGUAACUUAAUAUACUUGAGAUUUGUUUCGUUGGGGCGACGAGAAUAUAAAUAAAUAACUGUUCUUUUGCUUAAAUAUACAAUAAUAAUUGGUUAAAUAUUGAUCCUUUAUUAAAGAUUAAAAGAUUAAGUUACUUUAGGGAUAACAGCGUAAUCUUCUUUGAGAGUCCAGAUCGACAAGAAGGGUUGCGACCUCGAUGUUGAAUUAAGGGAUCCUUGUGGUGCAGCAGUUACAAAGGAAGGUCUGUUCGACCUUUAAAUCCUUACAUGAUUUGAGUUCAGACCGGCGUAAGCCAGGUCGGUUUCUAUCUCCUAGUUUGGUUAAAUCAUUUUAGUACGAAAGGAUUGAGUGAUUAGAAUAAUUCUUUUUGAGAGAUUUACAUUAACAA